This is a non-coding RNA of Paramuricea clavata, 385 nucleotides long. Lineage: Eukaryota; Metazoa; Cnidaria; Anthozoa; Malacalcyonacea; Plexauridae. The record is from the annotation of a GenBank genome assembly.
CAGUGGCGUGCUAGGUACUAUUUUUCUGGGGGGGCCAGUGGGCUGUCAACCAAUAUGCGCCCCUAUAAUGUUACGCUUGAUACACGAGGGCAGACGGCACGAGCCGAGCGCCGCAAGUGCGAGGUUUGUCCAGGGGGGUUCGGGGUCAUGCCCCCCAGGAAAAUUUUUGAAUUUAGAGUCUCUGAAAUGCCAUUUCCUUGACUUUGGGGGAAGAUUUGACAGAAAUCUGAUGGUCAGGAAACGACAUUAUAACGUGUCGAAAUUUGAAAUUUGGUUAGAAUUUAGUAGUAGUACUUCAAGCGAUUAAUCUAAUCCCAAUUCUAUUCUCUACUGAUCUAGUGAUCUGAAUACAUUUACAACUUACAGCUCUUUUAUACAAUAACAC